RNAcentral lists this long non-coding RNA (439 nucleotides) under Hordeum vulgare. RNAcentral describes it as "long non-coding RNA (HVUL_LNC006919)". Lineage: Eukaryota; Viridiplantae; Streptophyta; Magnoliopsida; Poales; Poaceae. The record is from RNAcentral.
ACAUAAUUAGCUACUUUAGCUCCAAAAUGACAUAAUUAGCUUAGUUAGGUAAAAAAACAUCACAAGAACCUUUGUUAGCUCAUAACUUAGUGUAUCUUCCUCCUAAAUGACAUAAUAAGCUCAAAAUAAGAAAAAUAUUGUAAUCAUCCUCUUCCUCUUAUUCUCCUUCUUCGUCUUCUCCUCCUCCUCCUCCUCCUUCUCCUUCUUCUUCUCCUUCUUCUUCUCCUCCUCCUCCUCCUUCUUCUUCUUCUUCUUCUUCUCCUCCUCCUCCUCCUUCUUCUUCUCCUUCUAAUCUUUAUUCUCCUCUUUCUUCUUCUCCUUAGCCUAUUUUUCCAACAAAAACAUACUUAGCUAAUUAUCUUCCAAAAUGACAUAAUUAGCUAAUUUAGCUCCAAAAUGACAUAAUUAGCUAUUUUAGCUCCAAAAUGACAUAAUUAGC